CCCACAGGACAGAUGCGGACAGUGAGGCCGGGGAGGCCCUGCUGCCCUCCGAACUGUCCCUCCAGCCCCCAGCUUUCUGUGGUUCUCUGGGCCCCCUCUGCAGAGGGGCAGGGGAGCCCACCCUGGAUCCUGAGACGCCAAGCUUGAGGGACCCCCAGAGCUCUAGCGAGGCUGCUUCCUUUGCGGAUGGUGAAGCUGAGGUCCAGAGGAGGGCAGGGGCAGGUCCUGGGCGCUCCCUAGGCAAAGGGAGCCGAUCUCCGGGAGGCGGUCACAGGGAGCGCUCCUGCGACUUCUAGGGCCCGAAAGCUGGGGAGGAUGAGAGACCAGGGGCCUUUCGUCGUCCCCUGGGCUGGGCAGAGGCUCAGCCUGUGCCGCAACCCUAAGCGGCUUCUGGCAAGUCCGAGCCGCGGUCCCUUUAAGAGGGGGUGGAGCUUCAACCUGGCACUAGGGAUGCUGCUAGCGUGCGUGUCCCUACGGAGCUGAGACUGCAGUUCCUGCGACGCCCCUGCAGCAGCAGCAGCGUGGUCAGAGCGAGCUUCUGAGCGGUGGUUCAUCUGCGUUGCUCUAAAUGGGACUGUUUCAUUAUUUUGAUGGCUGAAGAAUAUUUCCUAGUGUAUGUAUAUGAGAGUUUCUUGAUCUCUUUAUCUGUGGAUGAACAGGUAGGUUGAAUUUACACCCAGUAAUGGGACUGCUAGAUGGAAUGGUAUUUCUUUUUUUCCUAUUCUUUGCAAGACCUCUAACUGUUUUUUAUAGUGUUAAUACUAAUUUAUGUUUGCACAAACAGUUCCCCUUUCUGGCAAUUCAUACCAGGAAUUGUCUUUUUAAAUAUUUUGAUCUUUUUGUAAUGUUCAUUCUAUUGGAGUGAGAUAAGAUCUGAGUGUGGUUUUGAUCUGCAUUUUUCUCAUGAGUAGUAAUGUUAACCACGUUUUUGUAGACAUUCGGUCAGUUUCCUGUCUUCUUUGGAAAAAUAUCUAAUCCGGUUAUUUGCCCAGUUUUUGUCUGGCAAUUGUUCUGUUGUUUUGUUAUUUUUUUGCCAGCUGGUAGUAUGACUGGCUUGUACCUUUUCAAAAAUAAUCCCUUAUCCCAAACUUGUAAUUUUUAGUGUGCCUUUUUAUUUUGUUUAUUGUUUCCUUUGUUGGUCACAAAUGCUUCAGCUUGACGUGGUCCCACAUGUGCAUAAUUUCUUGGUGGCUGUGCUGUUGGUUACUAAUCAAGAAAAAACAAAAUCACUACCAAAGCAGUCCCUUGUCAAUAAUUUUUUUCCCUUGUAUUUUUGUUUACUUUUUGUGAACCCUGAGCAUACAUCCAAGUUGCUCUAAAUAUACGCACACCCGAGGUUGUCUUUAUAGGAGCUUUAUGGUUGCAAGUUUUGUGUAUAAUCUUUAAUCAUUUUGAGUUGAUUAUUGUGUAUCUAGUACCAUAAGGGUCCUGUAUUACCCUUUUGCAUAUGGAUAUCUAGUUUCGGAAGUCUUCCCUGUUGUGUCAUUUUGGUGGUGUUUUGAAAAAUGUGUUCAUUCCAUAUAAAUUUUUGUUUAUUAUUGAGCACAUUCAUUUUGCUCACUGGUCUGUGUUUCUCUGUCUAUGCCAGUAACAUAUGGGUUUGUUAACUACGGAUUUUCAUUUAAUUAGAACUCAGGGAAUGUGAUGCAUCCCGUAUGGUUUGUAUUUCUCAGAAUAGCUUUGGAAAUUCAGGGUGUUUCACAUUUCCACAUAAAUUUUGGCAUUGUUUCUUUAUACUUCCUAAAACACUAUUUGUCAUAUACUAAAUGUAUACAAUUAGAAGGUACAAGGAAGGUUUUCAUACAUGUAUAUGUUGAAUAAUGAUAAAAUCAGGUUAUUUAGCAUCUCUUCAUCUCAUAUAGUUAUUAUUUUUGGUAACAACAUUCAGAAUCUUUCCUUCCAGCUACUUUGAAAUAUAUGAUACAUUUGUGUUAAGGCUAGUCACGCUGCUGUGGAAUAGAAGGCCAGAAUUGAUCACUAUCAUCUGAGAGUAACUUUGUACCCAUCACUGAUUCCUUCCGAGACUGCCUCCACUUCCCCAG
Molecule: long non-coding RNA, 2042 nt
Filed under: Homo sapiens (human)
Lineage: Eukaryota; Metazoa; Chordata; Mammalia; Primates; Hominidae
Description: HSALNT0039958
Source: RNAcentral